UACGUAGGGUGCGAGCGUUAAUCGGAAUUACUGGGCGUAAAGCGUGCGCAGGCGGUUGAUUAAGUCUGAUGUGAAAGCCCCGGGCUCAACCUGGGAAUGGCAUUGGAGACUGGUCAGCUGGAGUGUGGCAGAGGGGGGUGGAAUUCCGCGUGUAGCAGUGAAAUGCGUAGAGAUGCGGAGGAACACCGAUGGCGAAGGCAGCCCCCUGGGCCAACACUGACGCUCAGGCACGAAAGCGUGGGGAGCAAACAGG
Molecule: ribosomal RNA, 253 nt
Filed under: uncultured bacterium
Lineage: Bacteria
Description: partial 16S ribosomal RNA
Rfam family: Bacterial small subunit ribosomal RNA
Source: RNAcentral